This 252-nucleotide ribosomal RNA is filed under the name uncultured bacterium. RNAcentral's name for it is "partial 16S ribosomal RNA". It matches the Rfam family "Bacterial small subunit ribosomal RNA", at positions 524 to 776 of the family's 1533-position model. The record is from RNAcentral.
CACGGAGGAUGCGAGCGUUAUCCGGAUUUAUUGGGUUUAAAGGGUGCGCAGGCGGCACGGCAAGCCGGCGGUCAAAUCGCGGGGCUCAACCCCGCCCAGCCGUCGGAACUGCCGGGCUAGAGUGGGCGAGAAGUGCGCGGAAUGCGUGGUGUAGCGGUGAAAUGCAUAGAUAUCACGCAGAACUCCGAUUGCGAAGGCAGCGCACCGGCGCCCUACUGACGCUCAGGCACGAAAGCGUGGGUAUCGAACAGG